Molecule: ribosomal RNA, 2142 nt
Filed under: Triticum aestivum (bread wheat)
Lineage: Eukaryota; Viridiplantae; Streptophyta; Magnoliopsida; Poales; Poaceae
Description: partial small subunit ribosomal RNA
Source: RNAcentral
AUGUUUGUCUUGAGGACCGGUGCUGCUACAAAUUCAGAGCAAUUAUAUAUCACAAAUGGUGAAGAAAAACCUGAUGAUACUAAGAAUGCCGUUGAGGAAAAUCAUGUCGAGAAAAAUAAUGCUGCGGAAAAUGAUGCCGAUCAGCACACGGAAAAUUUUAGUGACCAUGAGAAUCUUGGAAAUGCAGAUGAGCAGGGUUCUUCUUUUGAUAUAUAUGAUCCUAGAACUUGGAAUAUUCUUGACAAUAAAUCAAGAGAUAUUCUCAUUGAAAAAGGACCUAUAAGGGAAUACAAUCUUGUGUUUCCCGAAGAUGAAAUUAGUAGCAGGCAUUUUUCAUAUGAUUACUACACAAGAAAGUUAAGGAAUGGCGAGUUCAGUGAUCGGAGGUGGUUAGUGUACUCUAAACACGUGAAUAAAGUCUACUGCUUUUGUUGCAAAUUGUUUAAAUCCGGAAAAAGCAAAAGUCUGCUAGCAUCCGAGGGAUUGAAGGGUUGGAGACAUCUUAGUGAGAAGCUCAAAUUGCAUGAGAAUAGUGUUGAGCAUAUCACUAACAUGAAUACUUGGAAUGAGGUAAGGCUGAGGCUAAGUAAGAAGGAAACAAUUGAUAAAGACAUGCAACAAGAGAUUGCAAGGGAGAAGGAGCGAUGGAGACUUGUUUUAAUUAGAAUUGUUGCUGCUGUGAAAUUUCUUGCUAAACAUAGUCUGGCUUUUCGAGGAUCGAAUGAGAAAUUAUAUCAAGAUAACAACGGAAAUUUUUUGGGAGUAAUUGAAAUGAUGGCAGAAUUUGAUCCUUUAAUUUCCCUUCUUGGUCGCACUGUUAAAUAUUCUCUGUUGAGGAUAAUUAAGGAUGCAAGGUAUUUCUCUGUCAUCUUGGACUGUACACCUGACGUGAGCCAUCAAGAACAAAUGACUCUAAUUGUGAGGUGCGUAAACAUGUCAAGUACUACUACAAAAAUAGAGGAGUUUUUUCUGGAGUUCUUGAAGGUGGAUGAUACAUCCGGACUUGGACUUUAUAAUGUGUUAAUAGAUUCACUUAAAUCUGUUGGUUUGGAUGUUAAAGAUGUUCGUGGACAAGGGUAUGACAAUGGUUCGAACAUGAAGGGAAAACACCAAGGGGUACAGAGCAGACUACUUGAAACUAAUCCAAGAGCAUUAUUCAUGCCAUGCGCUUGUCAUAGCCUAAACCUUACUCUUAGUGAUAUGGCAAAAUCUUGCGGUAAAGCUGUUACCUUCUUUGGUUUAAGAAAAGCAUUACUGGAAUUGAAGAGAACUUCUACCGAUGACGCCAAGACUAAGAGCGACGCAAAAUCUUUGGCUAGCGCACUUGAGAAAUUUGAAUUUUUACUUGGCAUGGUCAUUUGGCAUGACAUUUUGUUCACUGUAAACAUGGUGAGUAAGAAGUUGCAGUAUAAGUUUGUGUGCAUUGAUGUUACUCUUAAACAGAUUGAAGGUGCCAUCUCAUAUUUUAAGAAGUACAGAAAUGACGGCUUUGCAACUAGUCUGGAUAUUGCGAGAUCUAUUGCAAUUGACAUGGGUGUACAACCUUUGUUUCCUGUCAAGAGACGUAUUACUAGAAAAAGACAGUUUGAUGAAAUUAGUGGCAAUGACGAAAAUAACCAGAAUGAAGAAACGCAAGCAAGUGAGGUGGAAUCAUUUAGAGAACUGAAGACAUUUGGGAGCAUAUUUGGUUUCUUGUUCAACUCGAAAGAGUUGAAGUCCUUGGGUGAUAAUGAUCUAAGAAGAUGUUGCACUAAUUUUGUCAACAAAUACACUCAUGAUAAGUCAGCAGAUGUCGAUCUAGAUGAUUUCGUUUCUGAACUAAAAGUACUGCAGAUGACAUUGCCAAACACAUUCAUGUCAGCGGAUCAGAUAUUUGAGUUUGUUAGAGAUGCGGAUUGUUAUCUAAAUGUCUCAAUUGCUUAUCGUAUCCUUUUGACCGUACCUGUGACUGUUGCAUCAGCUGAAAGGAGUUUCUCAAAAUUGAAACUAUUGAAAAAUUAUUUGAGGUCAACGAUGUCUCAAGAAAGAUUGAAUGGAUUGGCCAUGUGCUGCAUUGAGAAGAAUAUGCUGGAUAGUAUUGAUCUUGACACUCUCAUUGAUGAUUUUGCGUCAAAAAAUGCACGAAAGUCUCGUUUCACAUGA